AAUAUUGGACAAUGGGGGGAACCCUGAUCCAGCCAUGCCGCGUGUGUGAAGAAGGUCUUCGGAUUGUAAAGCACUUUACGUUGGGAGGAAGAGUUGUAGGCUAAUACCUUGCAAUUUUGACGUUACCAACAGAAUAAGCAACGGCUAACUUCGUUCUAGCAGCCGCGGUAAUUCGAAGGGUGCAAUCUUUAAACGGAAUUACUGGGCGUAAAGCGCGCGUACGUUGUUCGUGUAGUUGGAAGUGAAAGCCCCGGGCAUACCCUGGGAAUUGCUUUCAAAACUGACGAGCUAGAGUACGGUAGGGGGUAGUGGAAUUUCCUGUGUAGCGGUGAAAUGCGUAGAUAUAGGAAGGAACAUCAGUGGCGAAGGCGACUACCUGGACUGAUACUGACACUGAGGUGCGAAAGCGUGGGGAGCAAACA
This 422-nucleotide ribosomal RNA is filed under the name uncultured bacterium. Its description in RNAcentral is "partial 16S ribosomal RNA". It matches the Rfam family "Bacterial small subunit ribosomal RNA", at positions 360 to 774 of the family's 1533-position model. The record is from RNAcentral.